AUACGUAGGUGACAAGCGUUAUCCGGAUUUACUGGGCGUAAAGGGCGUGUAGGCGGUCUUGCAAGUCAGAAGUGAAAUUCCUGAGCUCAAAUCGGGCGCUGCUUCUGAAACUGCAGGACUUGAGUGCUGGAGGGGAUAGCGGAAUUCCUAGUGGAGCGGUAAAAUGCGCAGAUAUUAGGAAGAACACCGGUGGCGAAGGCGUCUAUCUGGACAGUAACUGACGCUGAUGCGCGAAAGCGUGGGGAGCAAACAGGAUUAGAUACCCUGGUAGUCCACGCCGUAAACGAUGAUGACUAGGUGUGGGGGGACUGAACCCUUCCGUGCCGCAGUUAACACAAUAAGUCAUCCACCUGGGGAGUACGGCCGCAAGGUUGAAACUUAAAGGAAUUGACGGGG
Molecule: ribosomal RNA, 396 nt
Filed under: uncultured bacterium
Lineage: Bacteria
Description: partial 16S ribosomal RNA
Rfam family: Bacterial small subunit ribosomal RNA
Source: RNAcentral